UACGUAGGGGGCAAGCGUUACCCAGAUUUACUGGGCGUAAAGCGCGUGUAGGCGGCUGGUUAGGUGUGAUGUGAAAUCUUCCGGCUCAACCGGAAAACUGCAUUGCAAACCGGCCUGGCUAGAGUGCAGGAGAGGGAAGCGGAAUUCCAGGUGUAGCGGUGAAAUGCGUAGAUAUCUGGAGGAGCACCAGUGGCGAAGGCGGCUUCCUGGCCUGCAACUGACGCUGAGACGCGAAAGCGUGGGGAGCGAACCGG
RNAcentral lists this ribosomal RNA (254 nucleotides) under uncultured bacterium. RNAcentral describes it as "partial 16S ribosomal RNA". It matches the Rfam family "Bacterial small subunit ribosomal RNA", at positions 524 to 776 of the family's 1533-position model. The record is from RNAcentral.